UUGCUGGAAAGAAUAGAUAUAUAUCAAGUCAACAGGGACAGGAGAUCACUCUAAUCCUAGUGAGGUAGAUUAGAGGAUGCUGACAUUACUUUUGGUUUUCAGAUAAGAUGCGUCAAAAUCACUGUGCUCUGUUUCCCUUGGGCGAGGUGGGCCUUCCAAUGGUGCUCCUACCUGGGAGGAAGUCUCUGAUGAUGGCUGAGCAAGGCACUGAUCUAUGAGUGUGGCGGAAUGUUUUUCUAUUAAGUGUUCCUUUAACAGAACAGUAGCAUUGGUUUUGUGCAGCUUCAGGUACUUGGCCGCCUAAGCAGUGUCAGGGGUGGGUUCUAUGGCGGUUUGAAUACACUUGGUUGGGGAUUAUUGGCACUAUUAGGAGGUGUGGC
Molecule: long non-coding RNA, 380 nt
Organism: Rattus rattus (black rat)
Lineage: Eukaryota; Metazoa; Chordata; Mammalia; Rodentia; Muridae
Exons: 3
Source: RefSeq, a predicted model, not a curated record